This 405-nucleotide ribosomal RNA is filed under the name uncultured Thaumatomonadida. RNAcentral's name for it is "partial small subunit ribosomal RNA". It matches the Rfam family "Eukaryotic small subunit ribosomal RNA", at positions 30 to 432 of the family's 1831-position model. Lineage: Eukaryota; Cercozoa; Imbricatea; Thaumatomonadida. The record is from RNAcentral.
GCUUGUCUCAAAGAUUAAGCCAUGCAUGUUCAAGUAUAGCAAGUGUACAGUGAAACUGCGAAUGGCUCAUUAAAUCAGUUAUAAUUUAUUUGAUAGUGAAAUUGUACAUGGAUAACCGUGGCAAUUCUAGAGCUAAUACAUGCGUAAAAUCCCGACUCUCGCGGGGAGGGAUGUAUUUAUUAGUUAAAAAGCCAAUGCGGGUUCUGCCCGGUUUUGUGGUGAAUCAUAGUAACUGUUCGAAUCGCAUGGCUUCACGCCGGCGAUAGUUCAUUCAAAUUUCUGCCCUAUCAGCUUUCGACGGUAGUGUAGUGGACUACCGUGGCGUUAACGGGUAACGGAGAAUUAGGGUUCGGUUCCGGAGAGGGAGCCUGAGAAACGGCUACCACAUCCAAGGAAGGCAGCAGG